GAUGAACGCUGGCGGCGUGCCUAAUACAUGCAAGUCGAGCGAACAGACGAGGAGCUUGCUCCUCUGACGUUAGCGGCGGACGGGUGAGUAACACGUGGAUAACCUACCUAUAAGACUGGGAUAACUUCGGGAAACCGGAGCUAAUACCGGAUAAUAUAUUGAACCGCAUGGUUCAAUAGUGAAAGACGGUUUUGCUGUCACUUAUAGAUGGAUCCGCGCCGCAUUAGCUAGUUGGUAAGGUAACGGCUUAUCAAGGCGACGAUGCGUAGCCGAGCGGAUGGGGUGAUCGGCGACCCUGGAAGGGAGACACGGUCCAGACGCCUACGGGAGGCAGCAGAAGGGAAUCGGCCGCAAUGGGCGAAAGCCUGACGAAGCGGCGGCGCGUGAGUGAUGAAGGUCUUCGGUUCGGAAAACUCUGUUAUGAGGGAAGAACAAAUGUGUAAGUAACUAUGCACGUCUUGACGGUAACUAAUCAGAAAGCCACGGCUAACUACGUG
Molecule: ribosomal RNA, 497 nt
Filed under: uncultured bacterium
Lineage: Bacteria
Description: partial 16S ribosomal RNA
Rfam family: Bacterial small subunit ribosomal RNA
Source: RNAcentral